GACGAACGCUGGCGGCGUGCUUAACACAUGCAAGUCGAACGGAAAGGCCCUGCUUUUGUGUGGUUCUCGAGUGGCGAACGGGUGAGUAACACGUGAGUAACCUGCCCUUGACUUUGUGAUAACUUCUGGAAACUGGGGCUAAUACCGGAUAGGAGCUCCUGCUGCAUGGGGGGGGUUGGAAAGUUUCGGCGGUUGGGGAUGGUUUCGCGGGUUAUCAGCUUGUUGGGGGGGUAGGGGCUUACCAAGGCUUUGACGGGUAGCCGGCCUGGGAGGGUGACCGGCCACAAGGGGACUGAGAUAGGGACCAGACGCCUACGGGAGGCAGCAGUGGGGAAUAUUGCAGAAUGGGCGGAAGCCUGAUGCAGCAACGCCGGGUGCGGGAAGAAGGGCUUCGGGUGGUAAACCGAUGUCGACGGUGACGAAGCGUGAGUGACGGUAAUGGGUAAAGAAGCACCGGCUAACUACGUG
Molecule: ribosomal RNA, 468 nt
Filed under: uncultured bacterium
Lineage: Bacteria
Description: partial 16S ribosomal RNA
Rfam family: Bacterial small subunit ribosomal RNA
Source: RNAcentral